CAUGUAGGCGGCUCGCCAAGUCUGAUGUGAAAGCCCGGGGCUCAACCCCGGAAGUGCAUUGGAAACUGGCGAACUUGAGUACGGGAGAGGAAAGUGGAAUUUCGAGUGUAGGGGUGAAAUCCGUAGAUAUUCGAAGGAACACCAGUGGCGAAGGCGGCUUUCUGGACCGAUACUGACGCUGAGAUGCGAAAGCGUGGGGAGCAAACAGGAUUAGAUACCCUGGUAGUCC
RNAcentral lists this ribosomal RNA (229 nucleotides) under uncultured bacterium. RNAcentral describes it as "partial 16S ribosomal RNA". It matches the Rfam family "Bacterial small subunit ribosomal RNA", at positions 568 to 796 of the family's 1533-position model. The record is from RNAcentral.